AAGCGGGUCCAGCAACAACUGCCAUUUCCUAAAAGAUGGGUUUUGGCACUGCAUAUGCAAUUUUGCAGGCAUACUGUGGGCUACUUCUGGGAAUCCACAUGGUCUCUUAGGUAAGUAAAAAUCUCUACAGCCUGCCCUCGAUGUUUGAGCCUCCAAAAUGCUAUGUGCAAAUAUGUGGAUGACCUAAAAUGCGGAUUUUUAUGCAGUAAGAAGAGUUGCAUGCUCAAAACAGUAAAUUUAGAUAUAUUAGGAUAUUUAUUAACCACACGGGGUGUUCCAAGCUCAGUUUAUUUAUCUUUGUAAAGUGCUUCCAGAUCUUUGCAUGGAAGGCACUAGAAAAAUGAAAGGCUUAUUAUUAUUAUUAUUGUUAUUAUUGUUGUUGUUAUUAUUAUUACAGCAUCUAACUACUGACAGGCAACCACAGCUGCAUGCUCAAUUCAAGCCACUUAAAUUUAGGGGCUGAUUUUUACACUAUUGACUCUUAAUACUUUUUCCCAUUGACUCCAUAUGCAGAAAUGUGUGUUCACCUGCCCCGCUGAAGUAUCAUUAUUCUCCAGAAAUAUGUAAAUGGAGUGCUUUUAAAGAAAGGAAGAAAAUGUGGCAUAAAUAUUAAGUGUUCACAUUUUAUGGUAAAACUCAACUGCCAUUUAAGAAGGGCUUCAAAGCAGCCAACUGUAUGAGCUGGUAGUUGUUCCUCUAUCAUUAAAAGAGAAAAUGCAUUGAUUAAAAUAAAACCAAGGAAUCUUGUAGACAAAGAAUAACAUUUACGGUGUUCUGGGGUCUGAGAUGAGCUACGAGCAGCCCAGGAAAUGGAGCCCUGAGUUUCACAGUCAAGCGGUUUCACCAGCACGGUUGUGCACAGCCGCGUGUGGGUUAUGUAAUCUCACACUUCACCCACCCACACCUAAAGACAACAGGCACCUUCGAAAGGUCUUGGCAUUAUUCAGAAGGAAGGCUCCCAGCAAUACCCCUACACGGUGUUUAACCUUAUCUCUACUUACCUUUAGGAGUUCCUUUCUCUUUUCUUUCCUCUCCUUCCUUCUUUCUACUUCUUUUUUUUUUUUUUUCCCUCCUUUUCCUUCCUGUGGUACAUCAAUAGUGAUAUUUUUGUGUCUCCAAAAAUGGAGCAGAUAUAGGGAGAAAAAUCCCAUUAGCACCAUGAUGUGUUUUCACGGCAGCUCUGAAGGUUUCGGUCAUGGCCGUUUUGUGCAUUUUGUAGCAUUGUCCUCAUGCUGUUAUUCUUUUUUUUUUUUUUUCUUUCUUUCUUUCUUUUUUUCCCUAAGUAGAGUUGAAAUGUUACAUUCUGAAAACACCAGCUAAGUAUUAAAUAGUACCUAGCCUAUGCUUUCUUUAGGUUUUAAAAUAGGAAAUAAUUAACCAGUGGUUUUAAAGAUCUCCAGAACAGUCAAACAGGCCUAUGAAACCCCAGGAUCUAAUAACAAAGACUGGAUUCUAGUUCAUUACCCUGCAGUAAAGCCAAACAGUCAUCAAUCGCGCUCAUUACAGCCGCUGGCGUUUUGAUUGGCUGCCUGCUGCUGGUAGCCCGCGUCCCCCAUCCUCCCGCUCUCCUCCAUGAGCUGUCGUGUACCUGCCAACAACAACAACAAAAAAAAUAUCAACAAUGCAAGAAUAAAUUUCUCCGGUUGAAAAACAACUUUGCAAACUUGUCAAACAGUCCUUGUCACUUUUUUUAAAAUUUUUUUUGGUUUUACACCAGAAAAAUUAAAAAAAAAAAAAAAAUUAGAAGGGAGAAACUUGAGCUUUAGAGAUGAAUAUUUGUCAAGAGAGUUGACGUAAGUUUCAUUUGCAUAAUGACUUUGUACUUCUGCAUUAAUAAAAUUUGCAUAUGAAGCCA
Molecule: long non-coding RNA, 1855 nt
Organism: Pezoporus flaviventris
Lineage: Eukaryota; Metazoa; Chordata; Aves; Psittaciformes; Psittacidae
Exons: 2
Source: RefSeq, a predicted model, not a curated record